This 465-nucleotide ribosomal RNA is filed under the name uncultured bacterium. RNAcentral's name for it is "partial 16S ribosomal RNA". It matches the Rfam family "Bacterial small subunit ribosomal RNA", at positions 28 to 507 of the family's 1533-position model. The record is from RNAcentral.
GACGAACGCUGGCGGCGUGCUUAACACAUGCAAGUCGAACGGAAAGGCCCUGCUUGCAGGGUACUCGAGUGGCGAACGGGUGAGUAACACGUGGGUGAUCUGCCCUGCACUUCGGGAUAAGCCUGGGAAACUGGGUCUAAUACCGGAUAGGAGCCAUUUUUAGUGUGAUGGUUGGAAAGUUUUUUCGGUGUAGGAUGGGCUCGCGGCCUAUCAGCUUGUUGGUGGGGUAAUGGCCUACCAAGGCGGCGACGGGUAGCCGGCCUGAGAGGGUGGACGGCCACAUUGGGACUGAGAUACGGCCCAGACUCCUACGGGAGGCAGCAGGGGGGAAUAUUGCACAAUGGGCGCAAGCCUGAUGCAGCGACGCCGCGUGGGGGAUGACGGCCUUCGGGUUGUAAACUCCUUUCGCUAGGGACGAAGCUUUUUGUGACGGUACCUAGAGAAGAAGCACCGGCUAACUACGUG